UACGGAGGGUGCAAGCGUUGUUCGGAAUUAUUGGGCGUAAAGCGCGUGUAGGCGGUCUGUUAAGUCUGAUGUGAAAGCCCCGGGCUCAACCCGGGAAGUGCAUUGGAUACUGGCAGACUUGAGUACGGGAGAGGGAAGUGGAAUUCCGAGUGUAGGGGUGAAAUCCGUAGAUAUUCGGAGGAACACCGGUGGCGAAGGCGGCUUCCUGGACCGAUACUGACGCUGAGACGCGAAAGCGUGGGGAGCAAACAGGAUUAGAUACCCUGGUAGUCCACGCCGUAAACGAUGGGUACUAGGUGUCGCGGGUAUUGACCCCUGCGGUGCCGAAGCUAACGCAUUAAGUACCCCGCCUGGGGAGUACGGCCGCAAGGCUAAA
This 376-nucleotide ribosomal RNA is filed under the name uncultured bacterium. Its description in RNAcentral is "bacterial SSU rRNA". It matches the Rfam family "Bacterial small subunit ribosomal RNA", at positions 524 to 898 of the family's 1533-position model. The record is from RNAcentral.